AAAGUCUUGAGCUUCUGCAGAUAA
RNAcentral lists this non-coding RNA (24 nucleotides) under Arabidopsis thaliana (thale cress). The record is from RNAcentral. Lineage: Eukaryota; Viridiplantae; Streptophyta; Magnoliopsida; Brassicales; Brassicaceae.